UGAAUUUACAUUUUUUCUAUACAUCUAUUUUGGUGUCUGUCGAUCAACUCUUUUUAACUUUUUUAUUAAAUAAUUUUAGACCUACAGAUUUUCUAUAAACACUUAUUCUAGCUUUACUCAUGUUAAAAUUAAUCACAGUAUGAAUAUUAAUACAUCCCGGGAGGCAGAGACAGCAGUGAGCCAAGAUCGUGCCAUUGCACUCCAGCCUGGCGGUGGAGGGAGACUCCGUCUCAAAGAAAAGAAAAAAAAGAAAAGAGAUGAUGGAUCUAUGCUGACUUGCCAGAUAUUUGGCUUAAGAAUCUCAAAAUCUGCAAAACGGCUCAGCUCUUGGACAUCACUAAGAAGAAGGAGAAUGUCUAAACAUGAUUCUGGAAGAUCUUUAAAGGAAAGAGGAAAGCGAAUUUGAUUAUUAAUGACAUCCUAAUGAGUUUGGAGCCAUCCUUUCUAAACAUGAAGUGAAAGUCUUCAGGGUAAGCUUUCUCUGAGUAUUAGUGAGCCUUCCAUGUGGAGUGAUAAUAAAACUCUGACAUUCCAUCCAAUGUGAUUUCAUAUGUAGUAGUGGAAACUGAGGCCAGGAAUAGGGAAAUGGUUUAGACUAACCAUUGCACAUGGAAAGGUAAUCUAGUCCCAUGUUCUCUUUCUGAGUAUUUUUAAGUGUAUAUAUUUAUUUUGAAGAAUAACAAGCAAU
RNAcentral lists this long non-coding RNA (688 nucleotides) under Macaca mulatta (Rhesus monkey). RNAcentral's name for it is "lncRNA (ENSMMUG00000055854.1)". Lineage: Eukaryota; Metazoa; Chordata; Mammalia; Primates; Cercopithecidae. The record is from RNAcentral.